RNAcentral lists this ribosomal RNA (537 nucleotides) under uncultured eukaryote. RNAcentral's name for it is "SSU rRNA". It matches the Rfam family "Eukaryotic small subunit ribosomal RNA", at positions 121 to 701 of the family's 1831-position model. The record is from RNAcentral.
UUGAUAAUGUUCUUAUAUGGAUAACCAUUGGGAAACUAUGGCUAAUACAUGCUCAACAGCUUCGGUUGUAUUUAUUAGUUUUGACCAGUCUUGUACUGUGAGGAGUCAUAAUAACUGAUCGGAGCGCACUAGUGUGCGCUAAAUCUUUCGAGUUUCUGCCCUAUCAGAUUGUUGGUAGUGUAUUGGACUACCAUGUCUAUCACGGGUAACGGAGAAUUAGGGUUCGAUUCCGGAGAGGGAGCCUGAGAAAUGGCUACCACAGCUACGGUAGGCAGCAGGUGCGUAAAUUACCCAAUCCAAAUUCUGGAAGGUAGUUACAGGAAAUUUGUUGCGCGUGAUUUAUCACCGACACAACCGAACACAUUUAAGCAUUGUGUGUUUAAUUGGAGGGCAAGUUUGGUGCCAGCAGCCGCGGUAAUUCCAACUCCAAGAGUGUAUCUUAAUGUUGCUGCAGUUAAAAAGCUCGUAGUUGAAUUUCUGAAGAUGGGAGAAGCUCACGCAGAUCCCGUCUUCAUCCGCUCGGAGAGGCUAGGGAAC